RNAcentral lists this ribosomal RNA (253 nucleotides) under uncultured bacterium. Its description in RNAcentral is "partial 16S ribosomal RNA". It matches the Rfam family "Bacterial small subunit ribosomal RNA", at positions 524 to 776 of the family's 1533-position model. The record is from RNAcentral.
AACGUAGGAGGCGAACGUUAUCCGGAUUUACUGGGUGUAAAGCGCGUGCAGGCGGACGAGUAAGUUGCUUGUGAAAGCGCCCGGCUCAACCGGGCGAGGACGAGCGAGACUGCUGGUCUGGAGGUAGGUAGAGGCGUAUGGAAUUCCGGGUGUAGUGGUGAAAUGCGUAGAGAUCCGGAGGAACACCAGUGGCGAAGGCGAUACGCUGGGCCUAACCUGACGCUAAGACGCGAAAGCAUGGGGAGCGAACGGG